RNAcentral lists this non-coding RNA (147 nucleotides) under Nocardioides luteus. RNAcentral describes it as "FMN sequence". It matches the Rfam family "FMN riboswitch aptamer (RFN element)". Rfam says of the family: The RFN element is a highly conserved domain that is found frequently in the 5'-untranslated regions of prokaryotic mRNAs that encode for flavin mononucleotide (FMN) biosynthesis and transport proteins. This element is a metabolite-dependent riboswitch that directly binds FMN in the absence of proteins. The record is from Rfam by way of RNAcentral. Lineage: Bacteria; Bacillati; Actinomycetota; Actinomycetes; Propionibacteriales; Nocardioidaceae.
UCGCGUGCUCUGGGGUCGGUGAAAUUCCGAGCCGGCGGUGACUGGAUCAACGUCCAGAAGUCCGCGACCCGAUGGCAGCCAGUCAUCGGUUGACCAGGUGAGAAUCCUGGACCGACGGUUAAAGUCCGGAUGGGAAGACGCACGCAG